RNAcentral lists this ribosomal RNA (891 nucleotides) under Devibursaphelenchus lini. RNAcentral describes it as "SSU rRNA". It matches the Rfam family "Eukaryotic small subunit ribosomal RNA", at positions 846 to 1756 of the family's 1831-position model. Lineage: Eukaryota; Metazoa; Nematoda; Chromadorea; Rhabditida; Aphelenchoididae. The record is from RNAcentral.
CUGUUUUGCGACUGAAACAAUGGUUAACAGGAACAGUCGGGGGCAUUCGUAUCGCUACGCGAGAGGUGAAAUUCGUGGACCGUAGCGGGACGCCCAAAAGCGAAGGCACUUGCCAAGAGUGUUUUCAUUAAUCAAGAACGAAAGUCAGAGGGUCGAAGGCGAUUAGAUACCGCCCUAGUUCUGACCGUAAACUAUGCCAACUGCCGAUCCGCUUGUGGAUUUCAUUCAUAAGCGGGGAGGUUCCCGGAAACGAAAGUUUUUCGGUUCCGGGGGAAGUAUGGUUGCAAAACUGAAACUUAAAGGAAUUGACGGAAGGGCACCACCAGGAGUGGAGCUUGCGGCUUAAUUUGACUCAACACGGGAAAUCUCACCCGGCCAGUACAUUGUAAGGAUUGACAGAUUGAUAGCUCUUUCAUGAUUCGGUGAAUGGUGGUGCAUGGCCGUUCUUAGUUCGUGGAUUGAUUUGUCUGGUUUAUUCCGAUAACGAGCGAGACUUUGACUAUUAAAUAGUGCGAUUGUUUCAAUUUGGUGCAAUUGAACACUUCUUAAAAGAAUUUGGGGUUUCCAACCUCAAGAGAUUGAGCAAUAACAGGUCUGUGAUGCCCUUAGAUGUUCGGGGCUGCACGCGUGCUACAAUGAUGGUAACAGCGUGAUUGUCCUUUUCCGAAAGGAAUUGGCAAACAGUUGAGAUAUUAUUAUGGCUGGAAUUGAGUGUUGAAAUUUUCUCUCAUGAACGAGGAAUUCCAAGUAAAUGUGAGUCAUCAACUCGCAUUGAUUACGUCCCUGCCCUUUGUACACACCGCCCGUCGCUGCCCGGGACUGGGUUAUCUCGAGAAAGCUAGGGAUUGUCGAAUUCACUAACAACUUGUUGUUGGCAUUCGGUGAGAACGA